Molecule: ribosomal RNA, 409 nt
Filed under: uncultured bacterium
Lineage: Bacteria
Description: partial 16S ribosomal RNA
Rfam family: Bacterial small subunit ribosomal RNA
Source: RNAcentral
UGGGGAAUAUUGCACAAUGGGCGCAAGCCUGAUGCAGCCAUGCCGCGUGUGUGAAGAAGGCCUUAGGGUUGUAAAGCACUUUCAGCGAGGAGGAAGGCAUCAUACUUAAUACGUGUGGUGAUUGACGUUACUCGCAGAAGAAGCACCGGCUAACUCCGUGCCAGCAGCCGCGGUAAUACGGAGGGUGCAAGCGUUAAUCGGAAUUACUGGGCGUAAAGCGCACGCAGGCGGUUUGUUAAGUCAGAUGUGAAAUCCCCGCGCUUAACGUGGGAACUGCAUUUGAAACUGGCAAGCUAGAGUCUUGUAGAGGGGGGUAGAAUUCCAGGUGUAGCGGUGAAAUGCGUAGAGAUCUGGAGGAAUACCGGUGGCGAAGGCGGCCCCCUGGACAAAGACUGACGCUCAGGUGCGA